GGGAGAAGCGGACUGAACACAGCCUAAAUCCGUCUGUGGCUGCAGGGCUCCUGGAGCAGAGCCUGCCGCCAGCUCCCUGCGGCCACCUCAACAUUCCCUCUGCAACCGGCCCCCAACUGUGUGCACCCCACCUGCCCUGGGAGGGGGCCAGGACUGGCAGUAGACCCCCCUCAAAGGGUCAUUCUGUGGCUGCCAGGGGCCCACCAGGAGGGAUAUACGCAUGUGUCUGUACUUCCACGUAAUCUGCGUCAAGUUGGGGGCUGGCUGCUCUCCGGGGCUGACCAUGCCUGGGGACCCCAGGGAUCCCCUAAUGAGGAGCGUGAAAGAAUGGAACCCCCAGCCAGCUACCCACUUCUUCCUGUCUGGUCUCUGCUCUGACCAGGAUGGCCUGUCUCUCUCAGCUAUGACUACAUUGGAUGUCUCCAGGGUCUCAGGUGCUACCUCCCAGCAAGUGAAGAGGAAAUGGAGACCUGGCGACCUCAAGGAUUUGCUUCAGAGUUCCAGAGCCAGUGAGGGCCAGAGCUGGGAGAGAUCACAUCUGCCCCGUGCAAGCCCCAGGCCCUUCCCUCUGCUCCUGCCUGAAGUGACCCAAGUCUGAGGCAACCAUUCAUGAUCUCCUAGAUCCGUGACCUUGAGGAGCUGUGGCCACACACUACAGGAGACCGAUGGCCUAGCUUGUCCCAAAUCUCCCCUCCAGCUGAACUACCUACUCCUAGGCCUGCCAAGUCCCCAAAUUCCCUUAGCCAACCAGGUCUGGGGUGGGGACUUGUGGCCUCCAGGCCUAGGUUCAACUCCUAAUCCCUGUUUCAUGAUGUGUGACUUUGGGCAAAUGACUUGAUGUCCGAGUCCCAAUUUUCUCAUUUGCAAAAUGGGCACCACACUGCCUAUUUGUAAAUUAAAGGAAAAUGGCAGCUGGUGUUAGUAGAAGAGCAUGGGUGGGGCUCCCCAGAAGGCCUCUGGGAAAAUGCUCUGUAUAUGAUGGUUCUUGGUUACCACCAGGCCCCCAAAUGUCCCCUCCUGCUAUUGGUUCUUGUUUCCUCAGUGAGGAGGUGCAGGCCUGGCUUCUGGUGAACUCCAGACAGCCACCAUUCAGGUCAACCUGUUCAGGUCAACAGGGCCUUCUGCACGGUGCCCAGUGUGUGGCCUUCGCACAACCCUGAGAGGUAGGUCCUCCUUUAUCCCCAUUUUACAGAUUAGAAAACUGAGGCACAGCAAGGUAGCUGUGGGCAUGUCUCCGGGGCCACACAGGUCAGAAAGCAGCCCCGGGAGAGCCCACUCCAGCCUCCCACCUGGGCAGGGCAGGUGUGUGGUGAUGGCUGCCUCUGCCUCCCUUUUGGGAGGCCAGAGGCCAAAGUCAAGGGUUUGAGUUCACACAGCUGCUGCAAAUGGAGCCUGUGAGGCCAAGAAGAGAGCUGAGCACUUUCCCUCCUGGGAGGACAGACAGUCUGGGGAUCAGGAGCAUCUGGGAGGACUGCCUGGGGGAGGCUGCCUCUUCCAGUCUCAUCCUGCCACCCCUGCAGGCUAAUGCCACCCUGACACAUCUCACACCUCCUGACACCGCCCAUUCCCAUCCAGCCACCCUGCCUCCUCUGCUCUCCUGCUACCGACCCACCCCCUGCAGCUUUAGCGGGCUCUAAAUCCCCUUAAACCCUUUUUUUGGCCGCCCUGUGUCAUCUACCAGCGUAAGUCCCAAAUGCCUCAUGACUGUCUCAGACCUGUCCCUCUCCCCUCUGCCCCACACCAGCCUCCACUGCUCCCCAAGCACACUCUUGUGUUUCCACACCUCUGGGUCUUGGCACGCCGCUGCCAGGAAUCCCUUCCUUCCCCCCACUUCUGCCCAGCAAACUCCUACUCAUCCAUCAAGAGCCUGCUCCAGCAGCUACUCUUUCAUGAUGACCCCACCAAUGCCCUGCCCCCCAAGCAGAAUUUGUCUUAAUUAAAUUUUUUUUUUAAAUUAGUAAUGGGAAUUAACCCAGAGGCACUAAACUGCUGAGCCACGUCCCCAGUCCUUUUUAUUUAUUUUUUUUUAUUUUGAGACAGGGCCUCGCUAAGUUGCUGAGGUUGACCUUGAACUUGCAAUCCUCCUGCCUCAGACUUCUGAGUUGCUGGGAUUACAGGCAUGCACCAUGGUACCUGGCUCUGUGUGUCUGUCCCUCUGGGUAAGGGAUUCCUAGUGGACAGGAAAUAGUCUCACUUGCCUGUGGUACCCCCAGAAGUGGGCACAGAGUCUCAAUUAUUUUUAUUGGUUGAACUCAUGAGUAUAGGUUUGUUGAAUGAAAAACCAGCCCCCCUAGUAGUUUUGAACUGUGUUUGCAUCUCUGUAGCUUUGGAAAUGUUUUUUGGAGUCACUGAGGAGCCCUGGCCUAGGAUUUGCUAUUUUCUGAGCCUGUUUAUGAGCUUUGGGAAGAGCAGAAAGUAACCCCAACUUCAAUCAAAUACUCGUGUUCAGAGAUGUCUUAACUGGAAUUAGGAUGUUGGAGUCCAGGGUUGGAUUCCUGGCAAGAUGAGCACUCAGGGAGGAGUCCCUGUCCCUAAAUGCUCCCUCUCAGUUACCUAUGGCCUGACAUUCCACCAUUAGUGAUUCAUUUCUUUGGAUCAUUCAGUCAACAAAUCUUUAUUCAGCUCUCCCUGGAGGGGAGGCACUGUGCUGGACCCUUGAGUUGACAUUUAAGUGUGUAUGUGCUACUUCUCCUUCUGGAAGGAAGGAAGAAACAGAAGGGGUGGGAUAUGAGUAAGACUGGAGGACUGGGCACUACUGGGAUCAUUAGGGAUCAAAUAGCCACCUCAGUCUCUGUCCUGUCUGAAUAGCACAGAGGCCACGUGGUGUCUUCUGAGCAUGCUCACACACCCCCACACCCCCAACAGCCCCGCUAUGUGGAGUGUCACUACCAUCUUACCCAUGAAGAAACUGAGUUUGGAGAGGGGAGGCGAUGAGCCCAGGAUGACAGAGCUGGAACCAGCAUCAGAACUCAGCCCUGCCUGGGCUGCUCAGGUGCAGGGGGCACUGGCUCACCCCUUACUGGUGUCCAGAUGGCCAGGGCUCUCAGAGCCACCACAGCUCUUCCUUGCCACUCAAGCCCCACCCUCUGGGACCCAGGGUGGCCCAUGUGCCUCUUUGUCCUCCACUGUACAGGCAGCAGGGGUGCAGGGGUAGGUGCAGAGAGCACGGGAGCUGGGGCUGAUGGCCUUCCACAGAGCCCUGCUCCAGCUGAUGGGCUGUGUGACUUUGGACAAGCUCCUCAACCUCUGGGGCCUCAGGCUCCUCAUCUGUAAAAUGGGCAGGAUGCUGUGUGCCGCCUGCCUCUCCGUCUGCUCAUUUGUUCAACAAAUACCCAUCGAGCACCUUGUGCCCAGCUUCUGUGCUGUGUGCUAAGAAGACGGUGCAGAAAGAAAAGCUCCUCCUGGGCUGGGGAUGUGGCUCAAGCGGUAGCGCGCUCUCCUGGCAUGCGUGCGGCCCGGGUUCGAUCCUCAGCACCACAUACAAACAAAGAUGUUGUGUCCGCCGAGAACUAAAAAAUAAAUAUUAAAAAAAUUC
Marmota monax (woodchuck) is the source of this 3535-nucleotide long non-coding RNA. RefSeq lists it as uncharacterized. The record is from RefSeq and is a predicted model, not a curated record. The transcript has 3 exons. NCBI's taxonomy places the organism in Eukaryota, Metazoa, Chordata, Mammalia, Rodentia, Sciuridae.